RNAcentral lists this ribosomal RNA (913 nucleotides) under uncultured marine archaeon. RNAcentral's name for it is "bacterial SSU rRNA". It matches the Rfam family "Archaeal small subunit ribosomal RNA", at positions 1 to 921 of the family's 1478-position model. The record is from RNAcentral.
UUCGGUUGAUCCCGCCGGAGGCUACCGCUAUUGGAGUUCGAUUAAGCCAUGCGAGUCGCGAGUCUUAGGGACUCGGCGUACCGCUCAGUAACACGUGGGUAACCUGCCCUAUGCUGGGGGAUAACCUCGGGAAACUGAGAAUAAUACCCCAUAGUUCACCACGCCUGGAACGGUGGGUGGACCAAAGCUCCGGCGGCAUAGGAUGGGCCUGCGGCGUAUCAGGUUGUAGGGGGUGUAAUGUACCCUCUAGCCCUCUACGCGUACGGGUGUUGAGAGACAUCGCCCGGAGAUGGAUUCUGAGACACGAAUCCAGACCCUACGGGGUGCAGCAGGCGCGAAAACUUGGCAAUGCGAGAAAUCGUGACCAGGGAACUCCAAGUGCAUCGGGUAAGACCGAUGCUUUUCUUGACUCUUCAAAGGUCUUGGAAUAAGGGGUGGGUAAGGACGGUGCCAGCCGCCGCGGUAAUACCGGCGCCCCAAGUGGUAGUCGCUUUUAUUGGGCCUAAAACGUCCGUAGCCGGUCUGGUACAUUCGUGGGUAAAUCAACCAGCUCAACUGGUUGAAUUCUGCGAGCACGGCCAGACUUGGGACCGGGAGAGGUGUGGGGUACUCUCAGGGUAGGGGUAAAAUCCUGUCAUCCUGAGAGGACCACCUGUUGCGAAGGCGCCACACUAGAACGGAUCCGACGGUCAGGGACGAAGCCUAGGGGCACGAACCGGAUUAGAUACCCGGGUAGUCCUAGGUGUAAACGCUGUGGACUUGAUGUUGGGAGUGCUCCGAGCACCCUCAGUGUCGAAGCGAAGGUGAUAAGUCCACUGCCUGGGGAGUACGGUCGCAAGGCUGAAACUUAAAGGAAUUGGCGGGGGAGCACCGCAACCUGAGGAUUGUGCGGUUUAAUUGGAGUCAACGCCGG